GAUGAACGCUGGCGGCGUGCCUAAUACAUGCAAGUCGAGCGAACAGAUAAGGAGCUUGCUCCUUUGACGUUAGCGGCGGACGGGUGAGUUACACGUGGAUAACCUACCUAUAAGACUGGGAUAACUUCGGGAAACCGGAGCUAAUACCGGAUAACAUAUUGAACCGCAUGGUUCAAUAGUGAAAGGCGGCUUUGCUGUCACUUAUAGAUGGAUCCGCGCCGUAUUAGCUAGUUGGUAAGGUAACGGCUUACCAAGGCAACGAUACGUAGCCGACCUGAGAGGGUGAUCGGCCACACUGGAACUGAGAAACGGUCCAGACUCCUACGGGAGGCAGCAGUAGGGAAUCUUCCGCAAUGGGCGAAAGCCUGACGGAGCAACGCCGCGUGAGUGAUGAAGGUCUUCGGAUCGUAAAACUCUGUUAUCAGGGAAGAACAAAUGUGUAAGUAACUGUGCACAUCUUGACGGUACCUGAUCAGAAAGCCACGGCUAACUACGUG
RNAcentral lists this ribosomal RNA (497 nucleotides) under uncultured bacterium. RNAcentral's name for it is "partial 16S ribosomal RNA". It matches the Rfam family "Bacterial small subunit ribosomal RNA", at positions 28 to 507 of the family's 1533-position model. The record is from RNAcentral.